Molecule: long non-coding RNA, 4159 nt
Filed under: Marmota monax (woodchuck)
Lineage: Eukaryota; Metazoa; Chordata; Mammalia; Rodentia; Sciuridae
Source: RNAcentral
ACCAAAUCAUACAUGCACAGAAUUCAAUUUCAGUCCCCAUCCUUCCCCUUUCCCUCCCUCCCUCCUUCCCCGUAUUUAUUCUCCUUCUAUUCUGAUCUUUCUUUUGCUCAUUUAUUUAUCUUCGGUUGGUACUUUCUAUGUAUACAUAAGGUUGAAAUUUCCUGUGGAAUAAUUAUAUAGGCGUAUAACAUGAUUUUGUUAAAUCCAUUCCAUGUUUCCUGCCCCUUCCUCUCCUCCCUCCCUCCCUCUCCAUCUCUUUCUUCUACUUCUCCUCCACUGAUUGGCCAUUUAUCUUGCUGAGUUGCUUAGAGCCUAAGUUGCUGAGGCUGGCUUUGAAUUUGCCAUCCUCCUAACUCAGCCUCCCAAGCCGCGGGGAUACAGGUGUGCGCCACCGUGCGCUGCCUGGUCUCCCCUUUAUCUUUAUGAUACCUGAACCCUGGCAACCUGCCUUCUUUGCAAAUUCGACCCUUGAUUUUUUGGAGUCCGACUCAUUUCACUUAGCGUGAUGUUCUCCAUUUCCAUCCGUUUGCUGGCUAAUGCCAUAAUUUCAUUAUUUUUUAUGGUGGAGUAAAACUCUGUUGUGCAUAUAUACUGCAUUUUUAUAUAUGACAUCAUUAUCUUAAUUUUUUUAAAAAAAUCUCAAUAUUCUUGUAGGGUAAUUGCCCAUACAUUGGGGGCUGGGAUUGGUGGUGAACCAACAAAGGGGAUAGAACUUGAGAAGUUAGCACAAAACUGAGGGAAGCAGAUGUACAGGAACAGACCAUGCCACUCCUCUGGGGACAAUAGGGGUCAAGUGCUGGUGAGUCCUGCUUGGGAGGCACAGGGGAAGUGUCUCUCAGGAAAUCACCUAGACUUCGGAUCCCGUCUUCUUGCAUUCAUUCUAGAGGGGUGAGGUCUGAAGACACAGGGGAGCCUGGGGCCUUAUGCUCCUUGAAGUUCAGGAGGAUGCCAGAAACAGAUUCUGGGCACUCCAGCGCUGAGGGCUGCUCUCCAGGGAAAGGCCUGCAGUUUAAAAUUACAUCCACCAGGUGGCGCAAAAGCCCCAGUUUAUAUUGGUGUUGAGUCCCUGAGUAAGAUAUCCUCAUUUUCCUCUGAUUCUUCUGAGGACUCAGAUGCGCAUUCUGAUAAGUCAUCUCCCAUCUGCUGGAAACUUCCUGACUGUACAUCCCAUGGUUAUUUGGCGGUCAUCUUGAAUUCAGCCAUCUCAUAUCCAAAAAGCUUUAGGACACAAGCCUGCUCCAGGGUCAGCACAUCACCUUUUGUGCACACCUGGUAUUCAGACAGCAGGGUCACCACACCUCUCUUGAGGGCAAUGGUCAGGCCCCGCUACCUCAGCUGUGGCUCCAUGGAGUGGGGGAACUGCUCCUGGGGCACUGGAUCCAGGCUCAGGGUGAAAGUUGCUUUGUUGCCAGCAGAGGCAAGUCCAUUUCUGUGUAUGUUGUGAACCACUCAUUCAUCUCCUCCUUUGUAUGGUCCGUAAAAAAGAGACCAACUUCCCCCCUCAACUUCUUGCUCAUCUGGUGCAGGCUGUCUCUAUCCUUAUCAGACAAGUUUCUACCCAAGACCCACUCAUCGCCUUGUUUUUGCCAAAAAACUUUGGCUAUGUUUCCAGGUAUUCCUGAUGUCCUUAGGCUUACUGUUCCUCAUGUUGGCCACAGAGAAAAUGAAGAGGUACUUGUAUAUGUCCACACAUUUCCAAAUCUUUGGGACAAUUGAUGAGGUUCUGGAGUUCAAGGAGCAGCAUGGGUAGAGCAACUGUGGCCUCAGAGGGAGAAAACCUGCUUUUUUUUUCCUUUGCUAGCAGGGAUUAAAUCCUGGGGGACUUAAUCACUGAGCAACAUCCCCAGCCCUUUUUAUUAAUUUUUUUAUUUAAAGACAGAUUCUCACUAAAUUGCUUAGGGCCUUGCUAAGUUGCUGAGGCUGGCUUUGAACUUGUUAUCCUCCUGCCUCAACCUCCCAAUUACAGAUGUGUGCCACCAUGUCUGGCUUCUAGGACUUUAAUCUGGUGUCUCCUCACUGCCUUUUACUUGCACCAGAGCUACUAAUUAUAGGAGAAGCCAAGCCAUGGAUUUAGACCCAUGGUCUUUCCCAGGCUUCUGACUUAUCUGUGACCAACAAUGGAAUCAAUCCUAUGGUCCUGCUUUGCUCAUUUAUUGGUAAUCUAGAAACACUUACCUGCACCAAGAAGAUUACAGCUAAAUGGAAAUGUAAGGAGCCUUGUUAUCUUCUGAUAAAGGGAGGCAGCUUAUCUGCACUGCUCUACCUGUAUUGCAGGCCAAAGGCGUAAGGAGGUAGACUUCCAUUCUCUCUCUAUAUAUCAAUUUAUCUUUUGGUAGGAGGUAUGAACUCAGGGGUGCUUAACCACUGAGUCAUAUCUCCAGCCCUUUUUAUACUUUAUUUUGAGACAGGGUCUCGCUAAGUUGUUUAUGGCUUUGCUAAAUUGCUGAGCUGGUUUUGAACUCACAAUCCUCCUGCCCCAGCCUCCUGAGCUGCUGGGAUUACAGGUGUGUGCCACCAGGCCUGGUAUAGAAUUCCAUUCUUAGGGAAUGAAAUCUCUGUCCAGCAGGAGACUGGCUGCUUUCUACCUGCUACACCCCAGGGUAAGCGGGUCAGAAGCAGUACAGAUGGGUGGGUGCAGCCACUUGCACCUGCAGCUGGUAACUAGCUGGUCUUUUGACUUUGGGCAGGCAAACAAAACCUGGCUAAGCUUCAGUUGCCUAAACAACAAAACAGUAAUAAUAUAAUUUAAUUCCUAAAUAACAGGAAUGCUAGGAGGAUGGUGUGGAACAAUAAAUGGGAAAUAAAUGAGACACUUGGCACAGCACUGGGCACAUAGGAAGGGCUCAAUCAAAGCCAGAAAUCUUCACAAUGGGACUUUUUAUUGGUACUGUUGAUGCUAAUUAAAAAGGGGCUCAAUCCUUUCCUCUUCCAUCAGGUUCUAUUUCAGUUCCAAGCCUUUCUUGGUGGUUUUGGUUAAGGAAACUUUCUUGUUGGGCUUGGAUUUCAGCAUCUCACUGAAGCCAUGUGCAGCAGAUGGCAGUGUGGCCCAAUAUGAUUUAAUAGAAAUCUUUUUUCUGUCCCCCCAGUGAAAGUUUUUUUUUCAGACAAAAAUGAGUUUGGUUCUCCUUCCUCUUCACAUUAUAGCUGCUCUUUGAGGCCCCGGCCUAUCUGGGGUAUGUUCAGGGAGAAGGAGGAAGAUAAAAUUAAAAACAGGAAGUGUCUUACUGGCAGUUAAAUGUUUGUGUUCUCUGGGUCUGGAUGAUGCUCAGAGCAAAGCUUUUCUCUUGUGUAAGCUUUUGAAACCUUUCAGAUUUCCUUACAGCUCAUGUCUGGUGUAUAGGAAACUCUGAAGUAUAUUUUGUGUCCACAAACUCUGGAAGAACAAACCAUUACCAGUGCAGUCACCUUUUCCAGGAUCCACCAACCAGGCUAUGUGCCUUGCCUUCUGGAUUUCCUGGGCAAGAUAAGAAACUUGACUCCAUUGCCCCAAACCACCCAACUUCAUGUCAGGUAGAAGAAACUCUUGGUUCCCUUAGGAAACAGUUGAAUUAAAUUCCAGGCAAGUUGGGAUAAUCCCUUUCCCACAUACUUUGUGGGUAAAGGAUAAAAUUCAUAGAAAGAGCAAACCUAUUCAAGGAUAUCCUAAAUAUGAUCCAUGCAAUUCUCUCUGACCACCUUUGGUCAGUGGAGACAGAAUAACAAAAACUUGUUUUCUCCAUUAUUUCGGGCAUUCUGCAGAAAAAAGUAAAGAAUAGUUUUCACAAGUUCAUAAAAAGAUAUCUGUGCUAAGAUACCCUUUAGUCAGGAUAAAAUUUGGGGAGUGUAGUUCUGAGAAAUGACUCUAACCAGACAACAGUGCCAAGAAACAUAUUCACUCCUGACAUAAUUUUUCUGGACUUAUGCAGCAUUAUUUAGAAAUGGUUAUAUAUUAAGCAUGAUCUAUGUUUAUUUAUGAGUCUUGUGAGAACACCUGUAUAGCAGCCUUUUUCUACAUUUACUCUCUGUAAAGGGUAUGUAUAAAUUUGAAGAUGUUGGGCUGGGGAUAUGGCUCAAGUGGUAGCGCGCUCGCCUGGCAUGCGUGCGGCCCGGGUUCGAUCCUCAGCACCACAUACAAACAAAGAUGUUGUGUCCACCGAAAACUAAAAAAUAAAUAUUAAAA